GGCUUUGCAGCUCAACUGGUAGAGCGCAUGCCGCGUUUGGGUGUGCUGUUUCUGUCGCUGGUUCGGUUCCAGCCAAAGCCC
Paragonimus heterotremus is the source of this 81-nucleotide non-coding RNA. The record is from the annotation of a GenBank genome assembly. NCBI's taxonomy places the organism in Eukaryota, Metazoa, Platyhelminthes, Trematoda, Plagiorchiida, Troglotrematidae.